ACGGGAGGCAGCAGUAGGGAAUCUUCGGCAAUGGACGAAAGUCUGACCGAGCAACGCCGCGUGAGUGAAGAAGGUUUUCGGAUCGUAAAACUCUGUUGUUAGAGAAGAACAAGGAUGAGAGUAACUGUUCAUCCCUUGACGGUAUCUAACCAGAAAGCCACGGCUAACUACGUGCCAGCAGCCGCGGUAAUACGUAGGUGGCAAGCGUUGUCCGGAUUUAUUGGGCGUAAAGCGAGCGCAGGCGGUUUCUUAAGUCUGAUGUGAAAGCCCCCGGCUCAACCGGGGAGGGUCAUUGGAAACUGGGAGACUUGAGUGCAGAAGAGGAGAGUGGAAUUCCAUGUGUAGCGGUGAAAUGCGUAGAUAUAUGGAGGAACACCAGUGGCGAAGGCGGCUCUCUGGUCUGUAACUGACGCUGAGGCUCGAAAGCGUGGGGAG
This 435-nucleotide ribosomal RNA is filed under the name Enterococcus sp. E02_13. RNAcentral's name for it is "bacterial SSU rRNA". It matches the Rfam family "Bacterial small subunit ribosomal RNA", at positions 341 to 768 of the family's 1533-position model. The record is from RNAcentral. Lineage: Bacteria; Bacillati; Bacillota; Bacilli; Lactobacillales; Enterococcaceae.